Molecule: transfer RNA, 72 nt
Filed under: Candidatus Woesearchaeota archaeon CG10_big_fil_rev_8_21_14_0_10_30_7
Lineage: Archaea; Nanobdellati; Candidatus Woesearchaeota
Description: tRNA-Val
Rfam family: tRNA
About the family: Transfer RNA (tRNA) molecules are approximately 80 nucleotides in length. Their secondary structure includes four short double-helical elements and three loops (D, anti-codon, and T loops). Further hydrogen bonds mediate the characteristic L-shaped molecular structure. tRNAs have two regions of fundamental functional importance: the anti-codon, which is responsible for specific mRNA codon recognition, and the 3' end, to which the tRNAs corresponding amino acid is attached (by aminoacyl-tRNA synthetases). tRNAs cope with the degeneracy of the genetic code in two manners: having more than one tRNA (with a specific anti-codon) for a particular amino acid; and 'wobble' base-pairing, i.e. permitting non-standard base-pairing at the 3rd anti-codon position.
Source: RNAcentral
GGGUCCGUGGUCUAUCGGUAUGACGCAACCUUGACUCGGUUGAGAUACCCAGUUCAAUUCUGGGCGGUCCCA